RNAcentral lists this ribosomal RNA (1486 nucleotides) under Parabacteroides distasonis. Its description in RNAcentral is "bacterial SSU rRNA". It matches the Rfam family "Bacterial small subunit ribosomal RNA". Lineage: Bacteria; Pseudomonadati; Bacteroidota; Bacteroidia; Bacteroidales; Tannerellaceae. RNAcentral also lists the same sequence under 2 other names. The record is from RNAcentral.
AGAGUUUGAUCCUGGCUCAGGAUGAACGCUAGCGACAGGCUUAACACAUGCAAGUCGAGGGGCAGCACAGGUAGCAAUACCGGGUGGCGACCGGCGCACGGGUGAGUAACGCGUAUGCAACUUACCUAUCAGAGGGGGAUAACCCGGCGAAAGUCGGACUAAUACCGCAUGAAGCAGGGGCCCCGCAUGGGGAUAUUUGCUAAAGAUUCAUCGCUGAUAGAUAGGCAUGCGUUCCAUUAGGCAGUUGGCGGGGUAACGGCCCACCAAACCGACGAUGGAUAGGGGUUCUGAGAGGAAGGUCCCCCACAUUGGUACUGAGACACGGACCAAACUCCUACGGGAGGCAGCAGUGAGGAAUAUUGGUCAAUGGGCGUAAGCCUGAACCAGCCAAGUCGCGUGAGGGAUGAAGGUUCUAUGGAUCGUAAACCUCUUUUAUAAGGGAAUAAAGUGCGGGACGUGUCCCGUUUUGUAUGUACCUUAUGAAUAAGGAUCGGCUAACUCCGUGCCAGCAGCCGCGGUAAUACGGAGGAUCCGAGCGUUAUCCGGAUUUAUUGGGUUUAAAGGGUGCGUAGGCGGCCUUUUAAGUCAGCGGUGAAAGUCUGUGGCUCAACCAUAGAAUUGCCGUUGAAACUGGGAGGCUUGAGUAUGUUUGAGGCAGGCGGAAUGCGUGGUGUAGCGGUGAAAUGCUUAGAUAUCACGCAGAACCCCGAUUGCGAAGGCAGCCUGCCAAGCCAUGACUGACGCUGAUGCACGAAAGCGUGGGGAUCAAACAGGAUUAGAUACCCUGGUAGUCCACGCAGUAAACGAUGAUCACUAGCUGUUUGCGAUACACUGUAAGCGGCACAGCGAAAGCGUUAAGUGAUCCACCUGGGGAGUACGCCGGCAACGGUGAAACUCAAAGGAAUUGACGGGGGCCCGCACAAGCGGAGGAACAUGUGGUUUAAUUCGAUGAUACGCGAGGAACCUUACCCGGGUUUGAACGCAUUCGGACCGAGGUGGAAACACCUUUUCUAGCAAUAGCCGUUUGCGAGGUGCUGCAUGGUUGUCGUCAGCUCGUGCCGUGAGGUGUCGGCUUAAGUGCCAUAACGAGCGCAACCCUUGCCACUAGUUACUAACAGGUAAAGCUGAGGACUCUGGUGGGACUGCCAGCGUAAGCUGCGAGGAAGGCGGGGAUGACGUCAAAUCAGCACGGCCCUUACAUCCGGGGCGACACACGUGUUACAAUGGCGUGGACAAAGGGAGGCCACCUGGCGACAGGGAGCGAAUCCCCAAACCACGUCUCAGUUCGGAUCGGAGUCUGCAACCCGACUCCGUGAAGCUGGAUUCGCUAGUAAUCGCGCAUCAGCCAUGGCGCGGUGAAUACGUUCCCGGGCCUUGUACACACCGCCCGUCAAGCCAUGGGAGCCGGGGGUACCUGAAGUCCGUAACCGAAAGGAUCGGCCUAGGGUAAAACUGGUGACUGGGGCUAAGUCGUAACAAGGUAACC